Molecule: ribosomal RNA, 303 nt
Filed under: uncultured bacterium
Lineage: Bacteria
Description: partial 16S ribosomal RNA
Rfam family: Bacterial small subunit ribosomal RNA
Source: RNAcentral
AGCAGUCGCCGCGGGAAUACGAGGGGGGCAAGCGUUGUUCGGAAUUACUGGGCGUAAAGCGCACGUAGGCGGCUUGGUAAGUUAGAGGUGAAAGCCCGGAGCUCAACUCCGGAAUUGCCUUUAAGACUGCCGAGCUAGUAGGUGAGAGAGGUAAGUGGAAUUCCGAGUGUAGAGGCGAAAUUCGUAGAUAUUCGGAAGAACACCAGUGGCGAAGGCGGCUUACUGGCUCAUUCUAGACGCUGAGGUGCGAAAGCGUGGGGAGCAAACAGGAUUAGAUACCCCCGUAGUCCCUGUCUCUUAUAC